GGUUGAGUGGUUCCAUAUUUUGUAUUACUAAUAAAGUACGCAAGAAUCUCUCUCUUGAGAGUACCUUUCUCUCUCUUAAGAGUUGUGCCUUUUUCUUCCUGGGCGUGGAAGUUUUCAAAAAAGUUCAAAAAAUUCAAAAAUAAACACCUUGAUUUUCCAAUUCCCACCCACCAAAAAACUCUCAGAUUAAGCGAGUAUAGACAACCAUUUACACUUGAAAUACUGCCCGAAUCUUUGCAAUCUUAGUUUUACUGUUGGCCCUCCAAAAAUUGAGACUGCAACUGCUGCGGGAGCUAGAAACUGAGAUAGAAGGUGCAUAGAUGACGCAGUUAUACUAAAUUUCCACUCGAUUGUACCAUUAGCUAGACAGGUAAAGUUUUAGUGGCACCCUAUUGAUUCGGGUUAGCGGUUAAAUUUCUCUUUUUUCUUUUUUCUUGUUCGUUUGUGUACCUUUGCGGGGUUGUUCCUGUGCUUAGUGUUUAUGUGAGUAGGUGUAGUCUCUUUCUGUUUCGUUUGCUUGUUCUAGUUUAAGAUCUCUUCAAGAUUGUAACUAUGUUUGGUAUACCUCUGGUGGUUGAGUUACUAUGACUGAGGAACUAGCAGAUAUAAUCCAGAAAUUUGCCCUUUCUGAGAAGGAACUGGGGGGCACAACUCUAGACCUGGAGGAUGCUGAUACUGGAGUUCAGGAGUGCCAACAAAGUUUGGUAGGGAAAAUAGUAGGGGAGAAAAUAGCUAACUUUGUAGGGGUGAAAAACUUUGUUAGUCUGGCUUGGGGUUACCCUUGCAGCCUUAGUGUCAUGAAGUUAGACCCUAACCUGUUUCAGUUUGACAUCCCUAUUGAGAAUGAUAGAGAAAGGAUACUGAAUGGAGGAUCGUAGAUUCUAGAUAACCAAAUUCUGGUUCUAAGAAGUUGGUAUGAUGGAAUAGAAGAUGACCAUAGUGCUUUUAAGAUGGCCCCUUUGUGGAUACAGGUAUGGAAUUUGCCAGUACACUGGAUCUCUAAGGAGGUGGGGUGAAAAAUUGGGUCAAUCUUUCAGGAGGUGAAAGAAGUUAUUAUACCUCAACCUGGAGGAAAGGAAGGUAGGCAUUUGAAAUUGUUAGUGAUAGCUGAUAUCUCACUCCCAUUACUGAGAGGCUCAACAGUUAAACUCAACGGAGUGUUGAAAUGGAUCAGUUUUAAGUAUGAAAGAUGUCCGGACUUUUGUUAUGGUUGUGGCAUAGUUGGGCAUAGUGAGAGGAACUGCAAAACGUCCCCUACCAUAGUGAGAGGAUGGACCUUGGCUGAGAGCUAACUGGAACAAAAGAAUGCCACAGAGUAAGUAGAAUAUUAGUUGAGGAAGGCAAGACAAGGUGGUGUGGGGAUUCAACGAUGGAGAAUUGGUGCGAAAGGCAACAACUGUGGUUUCACAAAUUAAGUAACAAGGCAAGGUAGGGAAUAAUGAACCAGAGAUAAUAAGAAGAGAGGACCACAAACAAUAUGGAAAAGGACAAAGAAUAGACUCUUGGAAUUCCUCUAAUUCUCUGAGUAAGGAAGCUUUCAUUGAGGGCCUGAAUUCAAUAAGUAAUGAACUAGGCACUGGAGGGGUGCAAGAGAAGGAGUAUGGUAGGACUUGGACUGGGAAGGGUACUAAGCAUAUAGAAUAAGGAACAGUUGAGAGGAGCAGUGGUAUGCAGGAAAAUGAAGAGGGGACUGCAGGAGGAAUGGAUACAGGAAUGGAAGAGAUGAUGCAGGUAGAAGAAGCUAUCCAAGAAAGGAGUCAGGAGGCAAUUCAGAAAAUGAAUAGAAGGAUUAGAAGACAAUUGAAGUCCCCCACUAGGAAAAGAGCUCCGUUAAGUGAAGUAGAUGGAAACAUUAGGAAACUGGAACUAAAUGGGAAGAGAAAAAACUAUCAAGAGGAUACUGAUAUGGUAGAGAUUGGGGAGGAGAUGAUAAAUUCUAAAUGGAAUAAACUGGAUGAAUCCUUGGAGUCAUGGACAGAAGAAGCUGAAAGUGGGGGACCAACCUAAAUGGGUCCCUAAGUGAUCCAUGAGAGCUCUAGUGUGGAAUUGUCAAGGAGCAGGGAGCCCCUUGACAACUCCCCAGCUGAGGGAGGCUUAUAACCUUCUCUCCCCAAGUGUUGUCUUUUUGAGUGAAACUAAAAAUAGAGAUAAGUUUAUGGAGAGUGUGAGCAACAUAUUGCAUUUUGACCACAGUAUAGUAGUGGAUUCUAUGAAUAGAUCUGGUGGUAUGGCUUUAUUUUGGAAGCAAGAAGUGAGUGUAAUAGAAAUAAAAAGGACAACCUUCACAAUUGAACCCCAUAUAGCUGAUAAUAACAAGCAAGUUGACUGGUGGCUGAUUGGCAUUUAUGCUAGUUGUGAUGCAGCAAUUAAAAAGAAUCAAUGGAAAGUGGAGAAGGGAAGAAAAAGACUGUGGGAAACAAGGUGGAUAAUUGUAUGAGACUUUAAUGACAUAGUCUCUAAUGAGAAAAAAUGGGGAGGAAGAGUGAGAGAGGAGUGAUCAUUCAGAGAUUUUAAGCAAUUCAUAACUGAUAAUGACCUUAUAGAUGUAGGUUUUGAUGGGAAUCAUUAGACAUGGUGCAAUAAUUGGGAGAAUAAAGGGAAAAUCAAGCAAAGACUGGACAGAAUGUUGUGCAGCUCCACCUGAUACCAAAGUUAUGAUAAAGCCAAAUGUAAAUAUGUAGACAACUAUAGCUCAGACCAUAGUAUGCUUUUGAUUGAUACAAAGCCUGAGGAGAACAAAAGAAGGAAAAAAUUUAUAUUUGAUAAGAGAUUGGUACAGAAAGAAGGAAUUGAACAGGUGAUUGCUGAAGUUUGGAAGGUGGAAGUGGAAGGAUCGAAAAUGUACAAGGUUACCAGGAAAAUCUCCAAUUGCAGAGUGAAACUGUUAAAAUGGAAAAAAGCUUUCAAAGUAAUUCCAGGAAAGAAAUUGACAGAAUUAAGGCUAUGAUUGAGAAGAGAAGAAAAUCACCUGAUUUCAAUAAAGGGACAAUGAAUGAGCUAAAGAAACAACUCAAGGAAGCAUACUCCAAUAAGGAAGUGUACUGGUCCCAAAAAUCAAGAAUGAUUUGGUUGAAGGAGGGUGAUAAAGACUCACAGUUUUUUCAUGCUAGUGUUAAAUGCAGAAGGAAAAGGAACAGGAUGUUGAAUAUUCAAAGAGAGGAUGGGACAUGGACAAGCUCUGAAAAGGAAGUAGGAGAGGAAAUGGCAUGUUAUUAUCAACAGCUCUUCGAUAGUCAAGGAGUUGAGGGAGUUGAGGAAAUGUUGAAUGGUAUACCAAACACAAUUACUGAUUAUAUGAAUGCUAACUUAACUAGAACUGUGACUGAGAAAGAGAUCCAGACUGCACUUUUCUCUAUGAACCCAAACAAAGCUUCUGGUCCUGAUGGUAUGACACCCCUUUUCUUCCAAAAAUUCUGGAGUAUUGUCAGACCUGAGGUGGUCCAAGCCAUCUAGAGCUUUUUCCACUCAGGCUUCAUGCUUAAGUUUCUAAAUCACAUAGUUGUCCCCCUGAUCUCCAAAAUUGACAUGCCCCUCAAUCUGAAGCACUAUAGACCCGUAAGUCUGUGUAAUAUCAUGUAUAAAAUCAUUUUCAAAGUGCUAGCCAAUAGACUCAAACAGACUCUUGAUCUCUGUAUAAGCAAAAAUCAGUCAGCUUUUGUCCCAGGUAGACAAAUUUUAGAUAAUGUCAUGUUGUCCUAUGUAUACCUUCAUUAUCUAAAAACAAAAGAACGGAGUCAGUAGGGUGCAUGGCUCUGAAACUGGACAUGUCAGAAGCUUAUGAUGGGGUCGAGUGGAAAUUGUUGGGUGUCAUCAUACAGAAAAUGGGGUUCUCUGAAACAUGGAUCAGAUGGAUAUGGAGUUGCAUCUCAACAGUAUCAUACUCCUUUAAGAUGAAUGGUGACCAGAGUCGAUAUGUCAUUCCCAAAUGAGGUAUAAGACAGGGGGAUCCCUUAUCCCUCUACUUGUUCCUAAUCUGCUCAGAAUGAUUAUCUAAUCUGUUGAGAAGAGCUGAAGAGAUGAAGCAGAUUUCAGGAAUGAGUAUCAGCAGAAAGGGACCAUCAGUAUCCCACUUAUUUUUUGCUGAUGAUACACCAAUUUUCUGUAAAGCAAUCCCAGGUCAGGCUGAAGCACUUAUGAAGAUUCUGGCAGAAUAUGAAAAAAGAUCUGGUUAGAUAGAUAAACUUUGAUAAAUCAUCUGUGUUUUUCAGGAAGAAUUUAACUGAGGAGGAGUAAAUAGAAGUUUGCAGGAGGUUGGGAAACAUUUAGAAGGUUAGUGAAGGCAAAUACCUUGGUUUACCCAUGGUCAUCACAAGAUCAAAAGAACAACUCUUUGAUUCAUCAGAAAUAGUUGUCAGAGAAUGAUAGAAAGCUAGAAGAAUAAGUUAUUGAGUACUACAGGGAAGGAAAUACUUCUAAAAGCCAUCACAAUGGCUUUACCCACAUAUGCUUUGUCCUGUUUCAAGUUACCAGGAAAGCUAUGUAAGGACAUCAGUUCUAUGAUGGUUAGAUUCUGGUGGGGAGAAGAAAAUGAAAGGAGAAAGAUGCACUGGUACUCUUGGAGCAAGCUUACUAAGGACAAAAACAUAGGGGGACUGGGAUUCAGAGACCUACAAGAUUUCAAUAAGGCUCUUCUAGGAAAACAAAUCUGAAGACUAGUGACAUGUCUCAAUCUGUUGAUAAGUAAGAUCAUAAAAGCCAAGUAUUAACCAGACAACUCAAUAUUCCAAUGCAAGGUGAGCCAAACAGCUUCAUGGAUAUGGGAAAGCCUGAUGAGUGUUAGAGAGGAUGUGGGGAAGGGAAUGUGGAGGAAAAUUAGGAAUGGCAAGAGCACUCGGAGGACAGCUGGAUUCCAAAUAACAAAGAGGGGAAACCUUCAACCAACAAGCCUCAGAACUAUAGGUUACAAAAAGUGGAAGAACUGAUAACCAACUUCAGAUGGAAUAAACAUCUGAUAUUCAAAACUUUCAAUGGAAAAGAUGCUACAGAAAUACUCAAAAUCCCAGUUAGCUUGAGUGGAAGGGAACACUGCAAUUUUUGGACAGAGAGCAAUAAUGGAAAGUACAUUGUCAAAUCAGCUUACAAGUUUUUGAGUGGAGGAAAGGAUAUUCAACAUAAGGAAACCAGAUGGCAAGGGGAAUCAAGCAUCACUGGACAAAGUAAGAAGGGAUGGAAAUGGAUGUGGAAACUGAACAUCAAAGCCAAAUUGAAGAAUUUUAUGUGGAAAUUCUUGAACAGAGCUUUACCAGUGAAUGAACUGAUAUAUUGUAGGACCAGAAUGGGAGAGCCAAUAUGCCAGAUAUGUGGGGAAAGAGAGGAAACAACAGAGCACCUGUUCUUUUUCUGCAAUCAAGCAAAGGAAGUCUGGAAAUUGGUUCCAUUGCAGUGGGAUGGACUUGCAGAUUACAGAGGAAACUUCAAUAAGUGGUGGAAUGGUCUACUGGAAGUAGAGCUGUUAAUCGAACCGGGCAACUCGCGAGCCGAGCUCGACCCGGCUCGAUAAGGGCUCGGCUCGGCUCGUUAACAGAGAGAAACGAGCCGAGCUCGAGCUCUAAUGAGUACUCGUUUAUUAAACGAGCCGAGAAGACUCGGUUCGUAUAAGCUCGGUAGGCUCGAACGAUAGGGACAUUUUCGUCAUUUCAGCGUGUAUGUGGUACACUAAGUCAUCUCCCGUCUGCUGUAGCCCUAAUUUCUCCUUUCCUCUUUUGGUAUUUCGUUUUCCCGUCCCACAGGCCAGAGCCGUCACCCCAAUCCCCGCAGCCUCCAUUCUCACCGCCAAGCGCCAUCCUCCAUUCUCACCCCACCCCGCAGCCUUCAUUCUCACCGUCAGCCUCCAUUCUCCUAAUUUUUUCUUUUCCCCUUUCUGUCAACUUUUUUCCCAUUCCACACCUGCAGUCGCAGCCGCAGCCGCACCCUCUUGACAAAAGCAGCCCACUGAAUCAAGCGACUGAAUUCCUUCCUUGGCCAGUAGCUCGCCUGAUUCUUGCCACCGUCACUGACUCAUCAUACGGAGCAGCCAUACGGAGCCACCUCGGUAGAGCCAGGAGCCUCUACCAUACCCCGAUUCACUGCAUUCUGGAAUCACUUGAUGCGGCCGAAUCAAUCACAUUUGAGGAAGUUGAACUUCCUGAAUCAUUCACGAGCUGAUUUGGUGGCUGUUGAUGUUGCUUGGUGGCUUCUGAUAUGUUUGGUGGCUGUUUAUGUAAACUUUUGAUGUUGUAAUCUGAUAUUUGGUUUGGACAUGUUAUCUGAUAUGUUUGGGGGCUGUUUAUGUAAACUUUUCAUGUUGUAAUCUGAUAUUUGGUUUGGACAUGUUAUCUGAUAUGUUGGUGGCUGUUUAUGUAAACUUUUCAUGUUCUAAUCUGAUAUUUGGUUUGGAUAUGUUAUUUGAUAUGUUUUGGACAUGUUGUAAUCUGAUUUGGUUUGGAUAUUGUAAUCUGAGUUUUUAUAUUCGACCUGGCUUGCAAUAUUUGGCUUCAA
Molecule: long non-coding RNA, 6477 nt
Organism: Coffea arabica (coffee)
Lineage: Eukaryota; Viridiplantae; Streptophyta; Magnoliopsida; Gentianales; Rubiaceae
Source: RefSeq, a predicted model, not a curated record